UCCAGCAUAUUGUGGAUAUUUUGCCAGCACAUAUUGUUCAACAUAUUGCAUCUCUGUUGGGGUGAUUGGCCCGGACCAUCUAAGGUCUAGACCACGGAGUGUUGAUAUGGCUUCUGCUACUAUGUGUGCGGGAAUCACAUCAAGAUUCAGGAGGGAAGGAGAAUCAAAAGGCUAGGAAAUUAAAGAGAGGAUGCUUUGUAGAGAUGCCUUGCAAAAUGCAGGGAAGAUGUUGCUAGAGAGUUGGUCCGAUAUGGGAAUUUAGGACAUAGGAGAGUCUUCAGAGAAUUUAAUGGAAGGGAAGUGAGAAAAGCAAAAGCCAAAUUCUUCUGCACUUUAUUUGGUGGAAAGUAUAUAUGGACUGUCGUGCUAAAUAAACUUCAAGAAGUUGAUGAGUUUGGGAUGAAUUGGAGGAAGUGAGGGAGGAAGGUGCAUAGGGAAGACUUGGCCAAAGUUAUCACAGCAAUUUCGGGAGUCCAGGAGUAGAGUUUGACCAAAGGAUUAGCGAGUCACCUGAAACAAUCUGCUUUAGCUUUGGAAACAAACAACCAUAGAUACGUUGGUUAAAUCAACCAUACUGCCUCUACAGAACCUUCCAGCUGGAGAAUAAGGCCUCCGAGCACAAAAGCUGUUAGUUGGGGCGUAUGAUCAUCUAGCUAAUUUCGAUUGCUUUGGUGCUACAUUAAUCUUCAGGGGGAUGGAUAUUUGUUUAUCCGAAAAGAACUGUCCAUGCACUGUGAGGCCGCAGUUGCGGUACAUAUGAUGAUGUGUUUCUAGAGGAUGAAAGAAAGAUGCCGCUUGAAGAUGCCUUGCUGCAAAGCAUACACACAGACAAAAGUAAUUGGAAAAUUGUAUUAUAUAUGUUGGCAAAUUGAUGUUAGAAUAAUGUAAGCAAGGGUGCCUUUCGUACAGCUCAUUCGACACUGAUUAGCGUAAACAAAUUCCAGUCUAAUUUCUUGGCUGCUGGAAGGUGACGUCAGAUUCAUUUUUUUUUUUUUUGUUUGAGGGCUAGUUGACGCAGGUUAAGUUGGAACAGCUGCUGUUGAUCUGUUUUAGCAAUAUCCAGUGAUUC
Molecule: long non-coding RNA, 1069 nt
Organism: Rhodamnia argentea
Lineage: Eukaryota; Viridiplantae; Streptophyta; Magnoliopsida; Myrtales; Myrtaceae
Exons: 5
Source: RefSeq, a predicted model, not a curated record